This 433-nucleotide ribosomal RNA is filed under the name uncultured bacterium. RNAcentral's name for it is "partial 16S ribosomal RNA". It matches the Rfam family "Bacterial small subunit ribosomal RNA", at positions 29 to 507 of the family's 1533-position model. The record is from RNAcentral.
AACGAACGCUGGCGGCAUGCCUAACACAUGCAAGUCGAACGAGACCUUCGGGUCUAGUGGCGCACGGGUGCGUAACGCGUGGGAACCUGCCCUUAGGUUCGGAAUAACUCCCCGAAAGGGGUGCUAAUACCGGAUAAUGUCUUCGGACCAAAGAUUUAUCGCCUUUGGAUGGGCCCGCGUUGGAUUAGCUAGUUGGUAGGGUAAAAGCCUACCAAGGCGACGAUCCAUAGCUGGUCUGAUAGGAUGAUCAGCCACACUGGGACUGAGACACGGCCCAGACUCCUACGGGAGGCAGCAGUGGGGAAUAUUGGACAAUGGGCGAAAGCCUGAUCCAGCAAUGCCGCGUGAGUGAUGAAGGCCUUAGGGUUGUAAAGCUCUUUUACCCGGGAUGAUAAUGACAGUACCGGGAGAAGAAGCUCCGGCUAACUCCGUG